Molecule: ribosomal RNA, 590 nt
Filed under: uncultured Burkholderia sp.
Lineage: Bacteria; Pseudomonadati; Pseudomonadota; Betaproteobacteria; Burkholderiales; Burkholderiaceae
Description: bacterial SSU rRNA
Rfam family: Bacterial small subunit ribosomal RNA
Source: RNAcentral
UCGGGUUGUAAAGCACUUUUGUCCGGAAAGAAAACUUCUGCCCUAAUACGGUGGGAGGAUGACGGUACCGGAAGAAUAAGCACCGGCUAACUACGUGCCAGCAGCGCGGUAAUCGUAGGGUGCGAGCGUUAAUCGGAAUUACUGGGCGUAAAGCGUGCGCAGGCGGUUCGUUAAGACAGAUGUGAAAUCCCCGGGCUUAACCUGGGAACUGCAUUUGUGACUGGCGAGCUAGAGUAUGGCAGAGGGGGGUAGAAUUCCACGUGUAGCAGUGAAAUGCGUAGAGAUGUGGAGGAAUACCGAUGGCGAAGGCAGCCCCCUGGGCCAAUACUGACGCUCAUGCACGAAAGCGUGGGGAGCAAACAGGAUUAGAUACCCUGGUAGUCCACGCCCUAAACGAUGUCAACUAGUUGUUGGGUCUUCAUUGACUUAGUAACGUAGCUAACGCGUGAAGUUGACCGCCUGGGGAGUACGGUCGCAAGAUUAAAACUCAAAGGAAUUGACGGGGACCCGCACAAGCGGUGGAUGAUGUGGAUUAAUUCGAUGCAACGCGAAAAACCUUACCUACCCUUGACAUGGUCGGAACCUGGCUG